GUGGCCGUGAGGACACCUUCCCCCUUGGUAGGGGCGGCACCGCCCGCGGCACAAGGGACAGGCCCAGCCCAUACCUGCAUUUCCAGCUUCAGGGAACCUAUCCUCUGCCUGGAUUGUCUGUCUGCUCCUGGGAUGCACUGCUCAUAUGUAAAUGCCCCAAGGGCAGGAGCCCUCUGUCAUAGUAUUAUCUUGUUCACCAGCAUAUCCCCAGAAGCCCACAGUGCCUGCUCCCUUGUUGGUGCUUAGAGUGUCUUUUUGGAAUGAAUGAGUGUCUCCUCAUCUGCUGCCAUGAUUGGUGUCAGUAGCCAUGGUCCAGAUGUCUCAUGGGGUUUUAUGCUCCCUUAGGUUCUUCAGUACCCAUCUCUGGGUUCUUUCACACGAGUCCCUAACAUUUUUAUAUGUUUUGGCUUGUUAGUUGCAUUUUGUUUAACAUUCUGACAGUCCUUAUACUACUGAGGAAGGUGGGUUCUACAUUUCUAAAACAUGUGUCACACAUGAAAUGAUUCAAUGUGUGUGUCUGAGGCAGAAGGGCAGCCUCUCUCUGGGGGCAGGAGGAGAGCUAAGACCUGAGGAGAAGAUGGUCACUAACAUCCAGCUGAGGUCUGGAAAAUAAAGCAGAGGGAUCCCAGCCGUGGUUCCCUGACUGUGCUCAGCAGGAUGAGCUAUGGAGUUUCCUUCUCCAAACACCAGAGAACAGACCGGAUGAAGUCGCAAGACUGUCGAGUGGAGACCAGGUCCCAAGAGUCCACUGUACUUUGGCCAGCAGGAUUUGCUGUGACAAUCAGGUUCCAUCAUGUCAACAAGGAAUGUCAAAUAUGUGUUUUAGUUGAGAACCCAGGCUCAAGACUACAACACAGCCAUGAAAGCUGGAGCAGAACACAGCAGCCGGCCACCGUACAGAGAAAUCUUCAGCAAACCCAGGUUAAAACUUCAACAACAUUGUCUUCUGUUGACUGAAGAGGCAGCUCAAUAACAAUGGUCAUACCAACUUAUAUAUGCCAGCAAGGAGGAGGAGAAAACAUAUGCUACAUGCUAUGGAAAUCUGUUAUGUGUUUCAUUUGGAAUGCAGACAGGAUUGUAAAGGUACUGAAAAACACAUGUUCAGUAUGGAAAAUCAUGUUUGAUGUGUCCUAAUUUGAUUAUCAAGACAAGAAUUCCAAACUCUUAGUGUCUGUUAAAUUUACAUGUGCAGAUCUAAAAUAGUUUUUUUUGUGUGGCAUAUUCUCACACAUAACCACUGAAUUCCUAGGGUACUGUCUCUAGCUCCUUUAUGCUGCUUGCUGCCCAGAAUAUUUCAUUAUUGAAUGAAUUAUUCAAGAUUUUAAAAAACUCACUGUAAUACAGCCAAGUACGUCUAUUUACAAUUGGAUACAUUCUGAUAUGUAUUCUUUAGUUGGGUAUCAUAUACUUAACUAUCAGUACAAUAUUGUUCUUAGGGGACCUCAUUUUUACACACUUUGAGUUGACAGAUUGUAUCUCAGUAUGAGUUCCCAUGUUCCUUCAGCACCUUUGCAAGGUUUCUCCCUAUUGGAAGGGUUCUCACAGUACAACCUGGCUGCAGUCUCAGGGUUUAUCCCCGGUAUGAACCCUCUGAUGGACACUGAGUCGGGACUUCCUGCUGAAGGCCUUCCCACAUUCAGAACACUCAUAUGGUUUCUCUCCUGUGUGGAUUCGCAAAUGUAAUCUAAGAGUUGACCUCUGGCUGAAUGUUUUGCCGCAUUCAGUACAUUCAUAGGGUUUUUCUCCGGUAUGAGUUCUCAUAUGUAUAAUGAGUUGUGAGUUCUGGAUAAAGGAUUUUCCACAUUCACUGCACUCAUAGCGUUUCUCCCCUGUGUGAAUUUUCUGGUGUAUAAUGAGGUUUGAUUUCUUGAAGAAGGUUUUGGCGCAUUCAUUACACUCAUAGGGUCGUUCUCCAGUAUGAAUUCUCUGGUGUGUAGUAAGUUCAAAUUUCUGGGCAAAGGUCUUACCACAUUCACUGCAUUCGUAGGGCUUCUUCUCCAUAUGUGCUCGCUGGUGUACAAUGAGGUUUGACUGGUGGGUGAAAGCUUUUCCACAUUCAAGACAUUCAAAGGGUUUCUCCCCAGUAUGGAUUCUCUGAUGUUUAAUGAGGUUUGCCUUAUGGGAGAAGGUUUUCUUACACACGUUACAUUCAUAAGGUUUUUCUCCAGUAUGUAUUCUCUUAUGACUAAUAAGGAGUGAUUUAAAUGAGAACGCCUUGUCACAAUAAUUACAGAUAAAAGGUUGCACCAAAUUUCUGAUUUUCUGGUGUUUAAAAAUGCCUUCUUUAUGGCUGAAGGCUUUUCCACUUCUAUUAUAUUCAGAGUAUUCCACUCCAGUAUGGGUUUUCUCUUGCUUCAGAUAGAGGAGUGCUUUUCCAAAUCCAUUACAGUCGUCGUCUUUCUUUCUUAUAUAGCUUCUAUCGCUAGUAAGUAAGUCUGAAUUAUAUCUCAAAGUUUUUUCAUAUAAGUCAUAUUUAUAGGGUACUUGUCUUAAAGAAACAAAGUCUGUGCUAAGAUUAAAUGUUUUUCCAAA
Molecule: non-coding RNA, 2532 nt
Organism: Globicephala melas (long-finned pilot whale)
Lineage: Eukaryota; Metazoa; Chordata; Mammalia; Artiodactyla; Delphinidae
Source: RefSeq, a predicted model, not a curated record